CCUACGGGAGGCAGCAGUGAGGAAUAUUGGUCAAUGGACGAGAGUCUGAACCAGCCAAGUAGCGUGAAGGAUGACUGCCCUAUGGGUUGUAAACUUCUUUUAUAUGGGAAUAAAACGUUCCACGUGUGGGAUUUUGUAUGUACCAUAUGAAUAAGGAUCGGCUAACUCCGUGCCAGCAGCCGCGGUAAUACGGAGGAUCCGAGCGUUAUCCGGAUUUAUUGGGUUUAAAGGGAGCGUAGGUGGAUUGUUAAGCCAGUUGUGAAAGUUUGCGGCUCAACCGUAAAAUUGCAGUUGAAACUGGCAGUCUUGAGUACAGUAGAGGUGGGCGGAAUUCGUGGUGUAGCGGUGAAAUGCUUAGAUAUCACGAAGAACUCCGAUUGCGAAGGCAGUUCACUGGACUGCAACUGACACUGAGGCUCGAAAGUGUGGGUAUCAAACAGGAUUAGAUACCCUUGUAGUC
Molecule: ribosomal RNA, 460 nt
Filed under: uncultured bacterium
Lineage: Bacteria
Description: partial 16S ribosomal RNA
Rfam family: Bacterial small subunit ribosomal RNA
Source: RNAcentral